CCUACGGGUGACAGCAGUGGGGAAUAUUGGGCAAUGGAGGCAACUCUGACCCAGCAACGCCGCGUGAAUGAUGACGGUCUUCGGAUUGUAAAGUUCUUUUCUAAGGGAAGUAGAAAGUGACGGUACCUUAGGAAUAAGCCUCGGCUAACUACGUGCCAGCAGCAGCGGUAAUACGUAGGAGUCAAGAGUUAUCCGGAAUGACUGGGCGUAAGGGGUGCGUAGGUGGUUCAGCAAGUUAGUAGCGUAACUCCGGGGCUCAACCUCGGCACUACUACUAAAACUGUUUGACUUGAGUGCAGGAGGGGCAACUGGAAUUCCUAGUGUAGCGGUGGAAUGCGUAGAUAUUAGGAGGAACACCAGUGGCGAAGGCGAGUUGCUGGACUGUAACUGACACUGAGGCACGAAAGCGUGGGGAGCAAACAGGAUUAGAUACCCUAGUAGUC
Molecule: ribosomal RNA, 443 nt
Filed under: uncultured bacterium
Lineage: Bacteria
Description: partial 16S ribosomal RNA
Rfam family: Bacterial small subunit ribosomal RNA
Source: RNAcentral